UGCUUGUAUGUAUACUUUGUG
This is a non-coding RNA of Caenorhabditis elegans, 21 nucleotides long. The record is from Ensembl. Lineage: Eukaryota; Metazoa; Nematoda; Chromadorea; Rhabditida; Rhabditidae.